AUCCUGGCUCAGAACGAACGCUGGCGGCAGGCCUAACACAUGCAAGUCGAGCGAGAUCUUCGGAUCUAGCGGCGGACGGGUGAGUAACGCGUGGGAAUAUGCCCUUCUCUACGGAAUAGCCUCGGGAAACUGGGAGUAAUACCGUAUACGCCCUUAGGGGGAAAGAUUUAUCGGAGAAGGAUUAGCCCGCGUUGGAUUAGGUAGUUGGUGGGGUAAUGGCCUACCAAGCCGACGAUCCAUAGCUGGUUUGAGAGGAUGAUCAGCCACACUGGGACUGAGACACGGCCCAGACUCCUACGGGAGGCAGCAGUGGGGAAUCUUAGACAAUGGGGGCAACCCUGAUCUAGCCAUGCCGCGUGAGUGAUGAAGGCCUUAGGGUUGUAAAGCUCUUUCAGCUGGGAAGAUAAUG
RNAcentral lists this ribosomal RNA (409 nucleotides) under Paracoccus sp. R-28243. Its description in RNAcentral is "bacterial SSU rRNA". It matches the Rfam family "Bacterial small subunit ribosomal RNA", at positions 16 to 453 of the family's 1533-position model. The record is from RNAcentral. Lineage: Bacteria; Pseudomonadati; Pseudomonadota; Alphaproteobacteria; Rhodobacterales; Paracoccaceae.